UAAUAAGUUGGCAGAAUAGUGCCACCGAUUUAGGAUCGGUUCAUGGAUAUUUAUCCACUUAUU
Molecule: transfer RNA, 63 nt
Filed under: Eisenia andrei
Lineage: Eukaryota; Metazoa; Annelida; Clitellata; Crassiclitellata; Lumbricidae
Also listed under: 1 other name
Description: tRNA-Leu
Source: RNAcentral